Molecule: long non-coding RNA, 1090 nt
Filed under: Cicer arietinum (chickpea)
Lineage: Eukaryota; Viridiplantae; Streptophyta; Magnoliopsida; Fabales; Fabaceae
Description: long non-coding RNA (CARI_LNC000763)
Source: RNAcentral
UUUAAUAUAAAAUCAUCUUCCCUCAACCACAUGUAGUUCUUGUGGUUAAUUUUUGCGGGGAAACAUCUUAUACAUCUAUUGCAGUUGAUGUUAUUGCCUAUAUCUGCAAGUCCACAAUUUUACUAUUUAUUCAUCAGUGCCAUUGCCAAUGAUUACAUUAAGGAGAAAACGGACAUAUUUGUGUAUAAUGCAAAAAGUAGGGAUCAUUUUAUGUGAAGAAUUCCCUCUUUGCGCAUAUCCUCUUCCUAGUUAUUAUUUGUUCAUAAAACUAGACUCAAUGGCUUUCAGUUAUUUUAUGGCAGCACUAAAUUUUCCAACUUCUCAGAUACUUCCUGUCACUGAUGUGACUUUUACUGUUAUUUAAUCAACAUGCAACUUCCUCCUUCAUUUUCCUUUCUCUUUUUCAUGUCCCUAAAAAUAUUAACAGAAUUUUACACUUAUGUAUAGGUGCUCUUGUAUGACGAACCAACAGCUGGACUUGAUCCUAUCGCAUCUACCGUUGUUGAGGAUCUGAUUCGCUCUGUGCACAUAAAAGGGCGAGAUGCUCUUGGAAAACCUGGGAAUAUAACAUCUUAUGUGGUAGUUACUCACCAACAUAGUACCAUUAAAAGAGCCAUUGAUAGGUAAGAGAUUCACAUGAUGGUUGAACAUCUUCUUGGUAGUUGGUACACCUGAACCCUCUAAAUUUGCCCACAAUUUAUGUACCUUAAUUUGAAAAUAUAUUGCAUAAGUACAGGUUGUUGUUUUUACACAAGGGAAAGCUUGUUUGGGAAGGAAUGACUCAUGAAUUUACUGUUUCAACAAAUCCAAUUGUUCAGCAGGUUUAAAGGGCGAGAUGCUCUUGGAAAACCUGGGAAUAUAACAUCUUAUGUGGUAGUUACUCACCAACAUAGUACCAUUAAAAGAGCCAUUGAUAGGUAAGAGAUUCACAUGAUGGUUGAACAUCUUCUUGGUAGUUGGUACACCUGAACCCUCUAAAUUUGCCCACAAUUUAUGUACCUUAAUUUGAAAAUAUAUUGCAUAAGUACAGGUUGUUGUUUUUACACAAGGGAAAGCUUGUUUGGGAAGGAAUGACUCAUGAAUUUACUGU